UGAGCGACCUACCUAAUUGUGGGGGGAUAGCCGGCCCAACGGCCGGGUAAUACCGCAUACGAUCGGAGAGGGGGCAUCCCUUUCUGAGGAAAGCCUUCGGGCGCAAUUCGAGGGGCUCGCGGCCUAUCAGCUAGUUGGCGGGGUAACGGCCCACCAAGGCGACGACGGGUAGCUGGUCUGAGAGGAUGGCCAGCCACAUUGGGACUGAGAUACGGCCCAGACUCCUACGGGAGGCAG
RNAcentral lists this ribosomal RNA (237 nucleotides) under uncultured bacterium. RNAcentral describes it as "partial 16S ribosomal RNA". It matches the Rfam family "Bacterial small subunit ribosomal RNA", at positions 118 to 351 of the family's 1533-position model. The record is from RNAcentral.